AUGCGAAGGAGUCAAGGGCAUGAUGCUGCCACGAGCAAGCAGCUGUCCGGAUUUUUAAAGAGCAAAUUCCAUGAGACAAAUUUAAUUGCAUUUUUUAAUAGAAUUAAAAAAAAAAAAACCCUCCACAGCAUUAGGGGGCGACGGAAAUGAAAUGGAUGCAUCCAGAAAUCUCAUUUGAAAGGUGAAUUCAACCGGGUUGCCUCUAGGGUCCGUCUCCAGGAUUGAAACCUGCAGGAAGGCCCGCGGGAGCCGGUGGGCGGCCGUGGUGGGGCAGGAGGGGGUGGCCGGUGGCUUCUGGCUGUGAGAUGGGCCGGUAUUUACAGAGGGUCAUUAUGAAUGACUUGCAGGAGGUGACAAGCACAGCAGUAAUUAAAUGUCCUCGUGUGGCCAGGUGGGAAAUUGGCUUCGAACGCGGGAGAGGGAGGCCUCAUUCCACGUGCUUGUCUUCCAGCUCCCGUCUCUGCCUUGACUUUGCUUCUCCUCCCGGCCUGGCCCCGCCGUCCUAGAACCAGAGGGCGGCAUGGUGGGUGUCCCAGGGGACAUGGCGGGGGCUGGGGGCUUUAGAGCAGCCGCAUAGAUCCCCCCGGGCACACCCCAGGGUGUGCACGCUGCAGCUCUGGAAACGAAGCCUGCACAAAUGAACGCUGAUACCAGCCGAGCAACGCAGCUGCGAAGCCACCACGACCUCUUGCCUGGCUUGGUGGGACGUGUACCUCUGCAGGGGACUCAGCAGGGGAUGCAGGUGGGCGCUUCUCUGAGUCACCUCCAGGGGAGCCCUUGGUCUGGUUCAUGUUUCCGUGCAAAAGCCUGGUUGGUUUUGACUUUCUGAGGCUGUUCAGGCAUUUGAAAUGGGGUGGUUUUUGCUCCUAAAGAAAACCAGGCUGAUAAGAGAAGCUCAGGCAUGACCCAGUUUUCUGAUUCAGAUCAACCUUAAGUGUCUUCUGAAGACACUGCUAACCCAUGGCCUGGCUGGUGGCUUCUCACGGCUGAGUCCUGGCACUGCCCCUGUGGCAACUAACAUUUUUUUCUGAGAAGCCUCUGUGGCCAAGAUGCUCCCUGCCCUGCAGUACCAAGUACUGUGUGUUCAGAGAGGGGAGGUUAUAUCUUCUGUGUUUUAUUUAAUGUGCAAACCAUAAGCCAAACUCUGUAGACAGGGAGAGGUUUGUAGUGGUGGGGCCGACCGUGGUCAACCCCACGCCUUCGGAAGCUGGUCUUUCAUACAAUGAUGCUGUGGAGACAAGGGUCAUUGUUAUCCCCACUUAAAAAUAAGAAAAAUGGGAUUCCCGUUGUGGCUCAGCGAUAACAAACCCGACUAGUAUCCAUGAGGAUGUGGGUUUGAACCCUGGCCUUGUCCAGUGGGUUAAGGAUCCGGCAUUGCCGUGAGCUGUGGUGUGGGUCGAAGACUUGGCUUGAAUCCCGAGGUGCCAUGGCUGUGUUGUAGGCUGGCAACUGAAGCUCCGAUUCAACUCCUACCCUGGGAACUUCCCUAUGCC
Molecule: long non-coding RNA, 1493 nt
Filed under: Sus scrofa (pig)
Lineage: Eukaryota; Metazoa; Chordata; Mammalia; Artiodactyla; Suidae
Description: lncRNA (ENSSSCG00005036614.1)
Source: RNAcentral